UUACACAUUGUUAUUAUUAAUACUAUUAUCAUUAUUAUUAUUAUUAUUAUUGUUAUUAUUAUUUUCCUGUCUUAAUAAACUGUCUUUAUCUCAACUCACAGGCUUCACUUUCCUGUUUCUCUCCCCCAUCCCAGAGAGGGAGGGGGGAGUGUGAGCGAACGGCUGUGUGGUAUUUAGCUGCCAGCCGGGUUAAACCACAACAAGUAUUUUGGCCAAAAUAUGGAUCUGGUGAAAAUUCAGGCUUUAAAUUUAUAUGUAAACAAUAAGAUUCCUUUUUUGGAGAAGGAGCCAAGUUAUUCUCCCUAUAAUCCUAGUAUUGCACCGGUGGCAGCAGCAGUCGCUCCAGGAAGGGAGACAGGGACUGUAAUUAACACUGUCCCUAGAGAAGGCAUGGACUCUAGGCUCUGGCAAGAAUUAGAACAAGGUAGAAGAGGUUCAAACAGCACCAAGAAAGGAUAUAGGAAUUUCACCAUAUGAGAUGCUGUUCAGAUUGCCCUAUCUGGGCAGAAGGGAUGAGAUACCACAAUUCGAAACAAGAGAGUUUUCUUAAGAACUGUAUUCUGGGGUUGUCCUCUUCUUUGUCAUCUCUCAGGACCCAUGGGCUGCUGGCUCAAACCCCACCUUUGGAAUUCCCCAUUCACCACCAUCACCCAGGAAAUUGGGUCCUGAUUCUGACUUGGAAAGAAUCAGCUCUGGCCUGAAUGGGAAGGACCAUUACUAACCACUGAAACAGCUGUAAGAACUGCGGAAAAAGGUUGGACUCACUAUACUCAAGUGAAGGCACCCGUUGACCCUAGUACCUGGGAAGUUGUUCCUACAGAAGACUUGUUGGAACUUGAAAUCAAAUAGAAAAAUCUCAUAGUGGACUCUGAGCGGGAUAAAAGCUUACAAUUGUAAACUAACCUUUUACUUUCACAGGUAACUAAUGUGUGUGGCUUGUGAGUGAGAGAAAGGAAUGGCCUAUAGCGAAUCGAAGUGCUCCCAAGGGGUUUUUGUUCUAGCAGUACAUAUAUCUUAUUCUUUGUAUCGAUAAUUAUUUGGAAACCUAAGGGUUAAAAAUAAUGACAGGGAAAAAUCAACUAUUAAUUUUGUUUCUAGUGAUUGUAGGCCUCAGAGAAGGCCUUGGUCAAUUGGCAACUUGGAAAAGACAUGACCAGAUAAUAGUAAGAGGAGAUACCCCAUCAAAAUACGGGUGACUGUGACAGAGGGUUAUGUACCACAAUCCGUCAUGUUUGAUGCUUGUGAGGUGUUAGCUUGGGGAGAUUUAAAUAUCCAGCGACAACUGAGCAGAGAGAACAAAUAACUGGGAGAGACCCAACAGCCAGAUUGAGAAUAGCUGUAUGGAAACAAUCCUCUAUUGCCAUCAGAGAAAGGGAGAAACUCAAGGAGAAAACAGGAGAGAAAACAGGAGACCCUCUUUGAAAUGAGGCAGUUCAAACUUUUGAGAUUGAAACAGGGUAUGGGGAUGUGAAUGCCU
This 1477-nucleotide long non-coding RNA is filed under the name Anser cygnoides (Swan goose). RNAcentral describes it as "lncRNA (ENSACDG00005016703.1)". Lineage: Eukaryota; Metazoa; Chordata; Aves; Anseriformes; Anatidae. The record is from RNAcentral.